This 156-nucleotide transfer RNA is filed under the name Ignisphaera aggregans. Its description in RNAcentral is "tRNA-OTHER". It matches the Rfam family "tRNA". From Rfam's summary of the family: Transfer RNA (tRNA) molecules are approximately 80 nucleotides in length. Their secondary structure includes four short double-helical elements and three loops (D, anti-codon, and T loops). The record is from RNAcentral. Lineage: Archaea; Thermoproteati; Thermoproteota; Thermoprotei; Desulfurococcales; Desulfurococcaceae.
GGGCCCGUAGCUCAGCUAGGUAGAGCGGCGGACCAUGUAGAAAGGCCGAAGCUCCAGCAGCUACGGGUCUUAUGACCGUAUGGGAUGAAAUAAUGCUGGAGCGUUGAAGAGAUUGGAGAGACCCGUAGGUCGGGGGUUCGAAUCCCCCCGGGCCCA